UGGGGAAUAUCGAACAAUGGGCGCAAGCCUGAUGCAGCCAUGCCGCGUGUAUGAAGAAGGCCUUCGGGUUGUAAAGUACUUUCAGCGGGGAGGAAGGGAGUAAAGUUAAUACCUUUGCUCAUUGACGUUACCCGCAGAAGAAGCACCGGCUAACUCCGUGCCAGCAGCCGCGGUAAUACGGAGGGUGCAAGCGUUAAUCGGAAUUACUGGGCGUAAAGCGCACGCAGGCGGUUUGUUAAGUCAGAUGUGAAAUCCCCGGGCUCAACCUGGGAACUGCAUCUGAUACUGGCAAGCUUGAGUCUCGUAGAGGGGGGUAGAAUUCCCGGUGUAGCGGUGAAAUGCGUAGAGAUCUGGAGGAAUACCGGUGGCGAAGGCGGCCCCCUGGACGAAGACUGACGCUCAGGUGCGAAAGCGUGGGGAGCAAACAGG
RNAcentral lists this ribosomal RNA (429 nucleotides) under Chloroflexota bacterium. RNAcentral describes it as "Chloroflexi bacterium partial 16S ribosomal RNA". It matches the Rfam family "Bacterial small subunit ribosomal RNA", at positions 355 to 776 of the family's 1533-position model. Lineage: Bacteria; Bacillati; Chloroflexota. The record is from RNAcentral.